UACGAAGGGUGCAAGCGUUAAUCGGAAUUACUGGGCGUAAAGCGUGCGCAGGCGGCUUUGCAAGACAGGCGUGAAAUCCCCGGGCUCAACCUGGGAAUUGCGCUUGUGACUGCAAAGCUGGAGUGCGGCAGAGGGGGAUGGAAUUCCGCGUGUAGCAGUGAAAUGCGUAGAUAUGCGGAGGAACACCGAUGGCGAAGGCAAUCCCCUGGGCCUGCACUGACGCUCAUGCACGAAAGCGUGGGGAGCAAACAGG
This 253-nucleotide ribosomal RNA is filed under the name uncultured bacterium. RNAcentral describes it as "partial 16S ribosomal RNA". It matches the Rfam family "Bacterial small subunit ribosomal RNA", at positions 524 to 776 of the family's 1533-position model. The record is from RNAcentral.